This 253-nucleotide ribosomal RNA is filed under the name uncultured bacterium. RNAcentral describes it as "partial 16S ribosomal RNA". It matches the Rfam family "Bacterial small subunit ribosomal RNA", at positions 524 to 776 of the family's 1533-position model. The record is from RNAcentral.
GACGAACCUUGCUAACGUUAUUCGGAAUUACUGGGCUUAAAGGGUGCGUAGGCGGUGCAGCAAGUCGGGUGUGAAAUCCCUCAGCUCAACUGAGGAACGGCGCCCGAAACUGCUGUGCUCGAGGAAGAUAGAGGUACGCGGAACUUAGGGUGGAGCGGUGAAAUGCGUAGAGAUCGGGAGGAACACCAGUGGCGAAGGCGGCCUUCUGGACCAGCACUGACACUCAAGCACGAAAGCGUGGGGAGCAAACAGG